GACGAACGCUGGCGGCGUGCCUAAUACAUGCAAGUUGAGCGAUGAAGAUUGGUGCUUGCACCAAUUUGAAGAGCAGCGAACGGGUGAGUAACGCGUGGGGAAGCUUCCUUUGAGCGGGGGACAACAUUUGGAAACGAAUGCUAAUACCGCAUAACAACUUUAAACAUAAGAUUUAAGUUUGAAAGAUGCAAUGGCAUCACUCAAAGAUGAUCCCGCGUUGUAUUAGCUAGCUGGUGAGGUAAAGGCUCACCAAGGCGAUGAUACAUAGCCGACCUGAGAGGGAGAUCCGCCACCUUGGGACUGAGACACGGCCCAAACUCCUACGGGAGGCCGCAGUAGGGGAUCUUCGGCAAUGGACGAAAGUCUGACCGCGCAACGACGCGUGAGUGAAGGAGGUUUUCGGAUCGUAAAACUCUGUUGGUAGAGAAGGACGUUGGUGAGAGUGGAAAGCUCAUCAAGUGACGGUACCUACACAGAAAGGGACGGCUAACUUCGUG
Molecule: ribosomal RNA, 497 nt
Filed under: uncultured bacterium
Lineage: Bacteria
Description: partial 16S ribosomal RNA
Rfam family: Bacterial small subunit ribosomal RNA
Source: RNAcentral